RNAcentral lists this ribosomal RNA (253 nucleotides) under uncultured bacterium. Its description in RNAcentral is "partial 16S ribosomal RNA". It matches the Rfam family "Bacterial small subunit ribosomal RNA", at positions 524 to 776 of the family's 1533-position model. The record is from RNAcentral.
UACGUAGGGUGCGAGCGUUAAUCGGAAUUACUGGGCGUAAAGCGUGCGCAGGCUGUUUUGUAAGUCAGAUGUGAAAUCCCUGAGCUCAACUUAGGAACUGCGUUUGAAACUACAAGACUAGAAUAUGUCAGAGGGGGGUAGAAUUCCACGUGUAGCAGUGAAAUGCGUAGAUAUUAGGAAGAACACCAGUGGCGAAGGCGCUCUACUGGGCCAUUACUGACGCUGAUGGACGAAAGCUAGGGGAGCGAAAGGG